GCGGCAGUGCUGGAAUAGGCAGACAGGCACGUUUGAGGGGCGUGUGUCUUCGACGUAUGGGUUCAAGUCCCAUUUGCCGCACCA
This 84-nucleotide transfer RNA is filed under the name Ruminococcus sp. Its description in RNAcentral is "tRNA-Leu". It matches the Rfam family "tRNA". Rfam says of the family: Transfer RNA (tRNA) molecules are approximately 80 nucleotides in length. Their secondary structure includes four short double-helical elements and three loops (D, anti-codon, and T loops). The record is from RNAcentral. Lineage: Bacteria; Bacillati; Bacillota; Clostridia; Eubacteriales; Oscillospiraceae. RNAcentral also lists the same sequence under 1 other name.